Molecule: ribosomal RNA, 253 nt
Filed under: uncultured bacterium
Lineage: Bacteria
Description: partial 16S ribosomal RNA
Rfam family: Bacterial small subunit ribosomal RNA
Source: RNAcentral
UACGUAGGGUGCAAGCGUUGUCCGGAAUUAUUGGGCGUAAAGAGCUCGUAGGCGGUUUGUCGCGUCUGCUGUGAAAACUCGGGGCUUAACUCCGGGCCUGCAGUGGGUACGGGCAGACUAGAGUGCGGUAGGGGAGACUGGAAUUCCUGGUGUAGCGGUGAAAUGCGCAGGUAUCAGGAGGAACACCGGUGGCGAAGGCGGGUCUCUGGGCCACUACUGACGCUGAGAAGCGAAAGCAUGGGGAGCGAACAGG